UACAACUUUCAGCAGUGGAUGUCUAGGCUCGCACAUCGAUGAAGAACGCUGCGAACUGCGAUACGUAAUGCGAAUUGCAGGAUUCAGUGAGUCAUCGAAAUUUUGAACGCAUAUUGCACUUCCGGGUUAGUCCUGGA
This 137-nucleotide ribosomal RNA is filed under the name Basidiophora entospora. Its description in RNAcentral is "partial 5.8S ribosomal RNA". It matches the Rfam family "5.8S ribosomal RNA", at positions 1 to 133 of the family's 154-position model. Rfam says of the family: 5.8S ribosomal RNA (5.8S rRNA) is a component of the large subunit of the eukaryotic ribosome. It is transcribed by RNA polymerase I as part of the 45S precursor that also contains 18S and 28S rRNA. Functionally, it is thought that 5.8S rRNA may be involved in ribosome translocation. The record is from RNAcentral. Lineage: Eukaryota; Oomycota; Peronosporomycetes; Peronosporales; Peronosporaceae.